This 75-nucleotide antisense RNA is filed under the name Streptomyces malaysiensis. RNAcentral's name for it is "ASpks TB sRNA". It matches the Rfam family "ASpks TB sRNA". The record is from Rfam by way of RNAcentral. Lineage: Bacteria; Bacillati; Actinomycetota; Actinomycetes; Kitasatosporales; Streptomycetaceae.
CUUCACCGAUCCGAGCAGCAGGGGCUGCUCCUCGGUCCGGUCCUGGCCGUAGGUGGCCAGCAGCGCCUGGGCCUC